Molecule: microRNA precursor, 83 nt
Filed under: Arachis hypogaea (peanut)
Lineage: Eukaryota; Viridiplantae; Streptophyta; Magnoliopsida; Fabales; Fabaceae
Description: miR3511 stem-loop (ahy-MIR3511)
Source: miRBase by way of RNAcentral
AAUCGAGCCGCCAGGGCCAUGAAUGCAGAACUGUUAAAGGAAAAAGAACAAACAAUGUUACUAUGGCAUCUGGUAAAGCUUGC